CCGGCGGUAUUCCCGGGGUAGGGGUGAAAUCCUAUAAUCCCGGGAGGACCACCAGUGGCGAAGGCGGCCGGCUAGAACACGCCCGACGGUGAGGGACGAAAGCCGGGGGAGCGAAGGGGAUUAGAGACCCCCGUAGUCCCGGCCGUAAACGAUGCGGGCUAGGUGUUGGGACGGCCACGAGCCGUCCCAGUGCCGUAGGGAAGCCGUUAAGCCCGCCGCCUGGGGAGUACGGCCGCAAGGCUGAAACUUAAAGGAAUUGGCGGGGGAGCACCACAAGGCGUGAAGCCUGCGGUUUAAUUGGAGUCAACCCCGAGAACCUUACCGGGGGAGACAGCUGGAUGAAGGCCAGGUUGAAGGCCUUGCCAGACUAGCUGAGAGGAGGUGCAUGGCCGUCGCCAGCUCGUGCCGUGAGGCGUCCUGUUAAGUCAGGCAACGAGCGAGGCCCUCGCCCCUAGUUGCCACCGGAUCCCGAGUGGAUCCGGGGGACACUAGGGGGACUGCCGGCGAUAAGCCGGAGGAAGGAGGGGGCGACGGCAGGUCCGCAUGCCCCGAAUCCCCCGGGCCACACGCGGGCUGCAAUGGCAGGGACAGAGGGUUGCGACCCCGAGAGGGGGAGCUAAUCCCUAAACCCUGCCUCAGUUGGGAUCGGGGGCUGCAACCCGCCCCCGUGAACGUGGAAUGCCUAGUAACCGCGCGUCACCAACGCGCGGUGAAUACGUCCCUGCUCCUUGCACACACUGCCCGUCGCGCCACCCAAGUGGGGCUUGGGUGAGGCGGGGUCGAUCGUUGGCCCCGUCGAACCUGGGCCCCGCGAGGGGGGCGAAGUCGUAACAAGGUGGCCGUAGGGGAACCUGCGGCCGGAUCACCUCCUAAGAAA
RNAcentral lists this ribosomal RNA (877 nucleotides) under Candidatus Acetothermia bacterium. RNAcentral describes it as "bacterial SSU rRNA". It matches the Rfam family "Archaeal small subunit ribosomal RNA", at positions 609 to 1478 of the family's 1478-position model. The record is from RNAcentral. Lineage: Bacteria; Candidatus Bipolaricaulota.